AGUGAACGCUGGCGGUAGGCCUAACACAUGCAAGUCGAACGGCAGCACAGUAAGAGCUUGCUCUUACGGGUGGCGAGUGGCGGACGGGUGAGGAAUACAUCGGAAUCUACUUUUUCGUGGGGGAUAACGUAGGGAAACUUACGCUAAUACCGCAUACGACCUACGGGUGAAAGCAGGGGAUCUUCGGACCUUGCGCGAUUGAAUGAGCCGAUGUCGGAUUAGCUAGUUGGCGGGGUAAAGGCCCACCAAGGCGACGAUCCGUAGCUGGUCUGAGAGGAUGGUCAGCCACACUGGAAAUGAUACACGGUCCAGACUCCUACGGGAGGCAGCAGUGGGGAAUAGUGGACAAGGGGCGCAAGCCUGAUCCAGCCAUACCGCGUGGGUGAAGAAGGCCUUCGGGUUGUAAAGCCCUUUUGUUGGGAAAGAAAAGCAGCAGGUUAAUACCCCGCUGUUCUGACGGUACCCAAAGAAUAAGCACCGGCUAACUUCGUG
This 492-nucleotide ribosomal RNA is filed under the name uncultured bacterium. RNAcentral describes it as "partial 16S ribosomal RNA". It matches the Rfam family "Bacterial small subunit ribosomal RNA", at positions 29 to 507 of the family's 1533-position model. The record is from RNAcentral.